AAGUCAAUAGUAGUCAAAAGAAUUCAAAGUGAACUCCAUAAGCUGAUGGUUAAUUCAUGAGUUAAACUCGAGCUGGGCUUAAACUCGUGAGCUGAUAAUGAGCUGGUCCCGAGCUAAUGAGCUGGUGUGGAGCUACAUGGGAGCUAACUUGAACUGAAGGUGAGCUCAGUGAGCUGAACUGAACUUGUAGAAAAGUUCAGCAUGGAUUUCCAAAAUGGCCACUAACUGGUUCGAUAGGUGUAGCAUUGACAUCAUCCCACACAUGCUGAACUAAAACUAUAACGGCUUCUUUAAAUUGUUUUGCACGAGCCCUUGUGAUCGGCCCUUGAGGUAGCACCAUCAGAUCUCGGCUUGGACUUGACUUAUGGGAAGCCGUGAUCGUAUCAUCCUCCCCCUCUUGAAAAUGACUUGUCCUCAAGUCAGUAUCUACAUCGAAAGGAGUCAAGUCAAAGACAUUAAAACUAGCACUAACAUUGUACUCACCUGGUAAGUCAAGCUUAUACGAAUUUUCAUUGAUUCGCUCGAUGACUUGGAAGGGGCCGUCUCCUCGUGGCAACAACUUAGAUCUUCGUUGAGCUGGAAACCUUUCUUUUCUCAUGUGCACCCAGACCCAGUCUCCGGGUUCAAAUACAACUCGUUUUCAUCCUUUGUUGGCUCGUUGGACGUAUUGCUCGGUUCGAGAUUCAAUAUUCUCUCGAACUUGCCUAUGUAAUUCCUUGACAAAUUCAGCCUUUUUCCUUGCAUCUGUAUGGACAAAUUGAUCAACAGGAAAAGGUAAUAAAUCAAGAGGAGUAAGAGGAUUAAAUCCAUAGACAGUCUCAAAAGGAGAGAAUUUGGUUGCCGAGUGAACAGAGCGAUUAUAAGCGAACUCGAUGUGGGGUAAGCAUUCUUCCCACGUCUUGAGGUUCUUUCGUACCAACGCUCGCAACAAAGUUGACAAAACUCGGUUUACCACCUCAGUUUGGCCAUCCGUUUGAGGAUGACAAGUGGUUGAAAAUAAUAACUUCGUCCCAAGUUUUCCCUAUAAUGUCCGCCAAAAGUGACUCAAGAACUUUGUAUCUCGAUCGGAAACAAUUGUUCUUGGUAAUCCAUGCAGUCGUACAAUUUCCCUAAAAAACAAAUUAGCAAUAUGCACAGCGUCAUCAGUUUUAGCACAAGAAAUAAAAUGUGACAUUUUAGAGAAUCUAUCGACUACAACAAAGAUUGAGUCCUUCCCUGUCUUAGUUUUUGGUAAUCCAAGAAUAAAAUCCAUAGAGACAUCGGUCCACGGGGUGUCAGGAAUGGGAAGUGGUGUGUAAAGUCCAUGAGGUUGGACCUUCAACUUAGCCCGUUUACAAAUUAGGCAACGUUCACAGAUCCGCUCCACGUCUCUCCGCAUUCGCGGCCAGUAAAAAUGUUCAUGGAGGGUCGACAAUGUCUUGCUUAUUCCAAAGUGUCCCAUUAGGCCACCACUAUGCGCCUCCAACAUAAGUAACUCUCGAAUGGAGCCUUGUGGUAUACACAACCUAUUUUCUUUAAAAAAAAACCCUUCGUACCUAAAAAAUUUCUCAAAAGACCCAUUUUCACAAGCAGCAUAUAUAUUUCCAAAAUCCUCAUCAUUAGCAUACAACUCUUUCAUAUGAUAAAAACCAAGUAACUUAGAAUCAAGAGUGGUCAAUAAGGUAUAUCUCCGUGACAAGGCAUCAGCCACUACAUUUUCUUUACCUUUCUUGUAUUUGAUGACGUAGGGAAAUGACUCUAAAUACUCGACCCAUUUUGCAUGUCGUUUGUUGAAUUUAUGCUGACCUUUAAUAAACUUAAGUGCUUCGUGAUCGGAAUGAAUCACGAACUCCUUCGGUCUUAGAUAGUGCUGCCAAGUUUCAAGUGAUCGAAUCAAGGCAUACAUCUCUUUGUCGUACACCGAAUAAUUGAGGGAAGCGCCACUUAAUUUCUCACUGAAGUACGCCACCGGUCUUCCGUCUUGGGUCAACACAGCCCCGAUCCCUACACUUGAAGCGUCACACUCAAUUUCAAAUGUUUUAGUAAAAUCUGGAAGGGACAAUAGAGGAGCUUUCACAAGACAUUCUUUAAGCAAAUUAAAUGAACGUUCUUAAUCUUCAGACCAGUGAAAUGCGGAGUUUUUCUUAAUCACGCUUGUUAAGGGUGCUGCAAUGGUACUAAAGUUGGGCACAAAUCGACGGUAAAAGCUAGCCAAUCCAUGGAAGCUUCGAACUUGGCUAAUGUUCGUCGGACGCGGCCAUUCUUGAAUCGCUUGAACUUUUUCUUGAUCCAUCUCCAAACCGUUGGCACUCACGACAUAACCUAAAAACACAACUUUAUCAGUGCAAAAUGAACACGUUUUGAGAUUAGCAUACAAUACCUCUUUUCGUAAAGUUUCCAACACCGCUCGUAAAUGUGGUACGUGCUCCUCUAAAGUUUUGCUGUAGACCAAGAUAUCGUCAAAGUAUACAACACAAAAUUUACCAAUAAACGCACGUAAUACAUGGUUCAUCAAUCUCAUAAAAGUGCUGGGAGCAUUUGUAAGGCCGAAUGGCAUUACCAACCAUUCGUACAAACCCAAUUUCGUUUUGAAGGCCGUCUUCCAUUCAUCGCCUUCUCGCAUUCGUAUUUGAUGAUAGCCACUUUUAAGAUCAAUUUUCAUGAAAAUUUGGGCUCCACUUAAUUUGUCAAGCAUGUCGUCAAGAUGGGGUAUCGGAUGUUGAUACUUGAUAGUGAUUUUGUUGAUGGCGCGACAGUCCACGCACAUCCGCUAUGACCCAUCUUUCUUGGGUACAAGCAGCACCGGCACCGGACAGGGACUUAAGCUCUCUCAGAUGAUCCUUUGUCUAGGAGUUCAGUAAUUUGCUUUUACAAUUCCUUCGUUUCUUCGGGAUUACUCCGAUAAGCAGGACGGUUGGGUAGUGCAGCUCCGGGUACUAAGUCUAUUUGAUGUUCGAUGCCUCGGAUAGGGGGCAGCCCACUUGGUAUUUCGUCCAGAAAUAUGUCUUCAAAUUCCCGAAUCAAAGACAAUACAGAAGCAGGCAAGUUUUCAGGUAACUCGUUAGUAUUCAACAAUGCCUCCUUGUACAUAAAUACAUACAUAGGCUGUCUCAAAAACAUCGCUCGCCGGAUAUCACUAACCCUCGCAAACACACUCAUUUUUCCACUUUCUUUUUCCUCUCCCCUUUUUACUUGUUUUUGUUUCUUUUCAUUUUCUCUUGCAUUUUUAGUCUUUUCUCUCUCUUUUUCCUUAAUUUUCUCUUUUGCACUCUUUUCUUUUUCUCUCGCUUGUUCCACUGAAAGUUUAAGUUUUUGUUGAUCCUCGUACACUUGCUUCGGAGUUAGGGGUGCAAGUGUUACGUUCUUGCCAAGAUGUUUGAAGGAGUAUCUAUUAGUGUAACCAUCAUGCAUCACCCGUCGGUCGAACUGCCAUGGUCGUCCUAAAAGCAAAUGGCCCGCGUACAUCGGCACUACAUCAGAUAAUACUUCAUCAGAAUACUUCCCGAUGCUAAAGGACACUAGGACUUGUUUUGUCACUUUGAGUUCACCACCAUCGUUAAGCCACUGGAGCUUGUAUGGAUUCGGGUGCUUGGUGGUUGACAGCCCCAACUUUUCCACCAUGAGGGUGCUCGCCACGUUUGUGCAACUCCCUCCAUCGAUUAUGAUGCUACACACUUUCCCUUGCACUUGACAUCUCGAAUGAAAAAUGUUCUCACGUUGUUGUUCGUCUUCCACACUUUGAAGACUUAGGCUUCGCUUGACGACGAGUAACUCACCUUCAACGGGUUGUUCUAAGUCCGCCUCAACUUCGGAAUUCGAUUCAGCAUCGUUCUCUUCCUCAUCCUCCGUUUCAAUCUCACCGUCGGCCCUUAUCACCAUGGUACGUCUAUUCAGGCACUGACUCGCUAUAUGUCCAUGACCAAGACACUUGAAGCACUUUAUGUCCCUUGAACGGGCGGUGGAACUUUUAGGAGCCAUACCUUUACUUGACUCAGCAAUAGGCUUAUUCGCCUUAGAUAUUGUUGAAGAAUCCUUCGUUCGAUUUGUUGGAAAACCCUUGCUUGUGCUUUGGCCCCAUUUAGAAGGAUUGGUGUUAGGAUAGGCUCGGGUGGUACCUUUUCGCUUCAACUGCUUCUCCACUUUGAUAGCCAUGUGGACCAUGUCCACAACCUCAAUGUAAUGUUGCAGUUCUACGACAUUUGCAAUCUCUCGAUUAAGUCCUGCUAGAAAGCGAGCCAUUGUGGCUUCUCGAUCUUCUUGUAUAUCGGCACGGAUCAUAGCCACUUCCAUUUCUUUAUAAUAAUCUUCCACACUCUUCGUCCCUUGGAUGAGAUUUUAGAGUUUUUGAUGCAACUCCCGAUGAUAGUAGGAUGGAAUGAAUCGUCGCCGCAUAACCGCCUUCAUUUCGGUCCAAGUGGAAAUGGGAUGCUCCCCGUUACGCCUCCGACUAGUGGUCAACUGAUCCCACCAUAUCAUUGCGUAAUCUGAAAACUCAAUUGCGGCGAGUUUGACUUUCUUAUUUUCAGAGUAGUUAUGACAUUCGAACACUAGUUCGAUUUUCUUCUCCCACUCAAGGUACGCCUCGGGAUCAGAUUUACCUUGGAAAGGAGGAAUGGAGAGUUUGAUAUUCUUCAAGUCAUCAUCUUCCCUCCUUCGAUCUACUUGUCCAUGGUUUCGGGGACGUCUCCUUUCUAGGCUUAUGUUAGACCCGUGAUCGCUUUCAUCUUCACUAUUUUCAUUAACAUCAUCAUCUUGAACCCUUGGUUGUCUUCGUCGUUGAUUGGGCCCUUCACGUCUUUGCCUAGCAACUUCAGGAUAUUCAUCGCGUUGUCUUUGGGCCUCGACUUGGUAGAGUCGAUCUUCAAGAGGAUUAAGCCUUCGAUCAAGUAAUCGUUCCAUCUCACGCAAAAGGGCUUGCAUUUGCAAAUCUGGAACGUUUCUGACGGGUUGUCGCCCUUGUUGUUCUUCCAUGUUUUGUCCACUAUUUUGGGACAUCUAUUCAUUUAAGAUAGCCUCACAAACAAAUCCUCUCAAUCCGCUCAGAAAGAAAGAAGCUUGAUGACACUCACACUCGUGUUUACACUCUUAGUUCGGCUUUUACCUCCCCUCGAAUGCGCUCACGCUCUCUUGCCUUUUACCUCUCUUGACUUUUCUCGUAAUUUCGUAAGCAGAUUCAUUAAGGCUCGGUCCUUGGUCUAGGUGGUCGAUUCAAAAGGGAUAACAAGUGAUUGAUGUAUUCGUAUAGGGUAGGCUGAAAGAAUAGGGAAUUGGGUAAAAAAUGUGGCGAAUUAGGGAGAGUAGAAUAGAAGAAGGAUCAGGAACUAUAUCAGAUCAAAGCUUGACGAUCAAAUAACAAUUGAAUUGCAUAAAUCACUUUUUUUUAUUUUUUUUCGAAUUUUUUUUUUUCAAAUUUUUUUUUAUUUUUUUUAACUUGUAUAACUUUUUUUUGUUGUACUAUAUCGACAAACUAAAUACAAUAAAACACUUUUGUACAUGAUUUUUUUUUCUUUGGCUGCGUAGAUUUUUGUUUUUAUAGCAACAAUAACAAACUAAUCGAAAUGAGAAAACUUCGGUAUACAAAUUUUUUUUUCUGAACCUACCUAGGGAAUGCUCUACUUCGAACGUCUAAGCUUCUCGUUUUAGGUAGCUCUGAUACCAGAUGAUACAAACCGUCUCGGGAAGAGUCGAGUCGUAUGUAAAUUGCCCGAUCGUCUACGAGAAGCUACGUUAGGUUUAGUUGAGUUGAAGGUAUGGUCAAAGUAGAAAGAGGGGUACGAAUGGAAUGGUAGGAAUGAAAGGGUAGGAACAAAAGGAUAUGAACAAAUUGGUUGGUUUAGGUUCGAUUAGGUAAAGAAGAAAGAAUGGGUUUGAACUACUAAAGGUACUUUCAAGAACCAAAUACCGAAAUGGUAUCGACCCGUUGAUUUAGCCUUUUGAGUUCGGUUAUAGGUUUGGUAAGGGAAACCUCGACCCACUAUCUAACAAGAUAGGAACCUCGGUAUGUUGAACGCCACACUACGAAUAGUGAUAAGUUCGGGUACGAUAAAGAACACGGUUGACACAACUAGAACACUAGGAACGCCAAACGAAUCUUUGAACGAAAUAUAAGAAAAGUAUGCCUCACAAUUUCGGCAGCAUAACAUUAACAAAAGUUUCAAAAAGUCCUUUACAUGGAAAUUGAACAAGUAUUUAUAGGCCUAAGUCUAGGUAGCCGAUUGGCCUUUCAUGCUUACACAUUAAUUAAAUAAAAUUCUAGAAAAAUAACUCUUAAUAUGCAUGACCAGAUUCGGUUUUGGGAAUGGUUGAUGAAUGCAUCUUCAUGCUUAAGAAAACUCAAAGUGAAUGCAUGAUAUCCAAUGGUCACUUGUAGAUUCGGCUAACCUUGUUAAAUGAAGCAAUGUUUGGCCAAAAAGUAUGAAUUAAUUGUGGACACUCCAAGGGCCAUCAUGUGUGUGAAACCGAAUGUUGAAGAGUCUUCUAGUGUUAACAAGGUGAACCGAAUGGUCUUGCCAUGUGAACAUAGGUGUGAACGAAUUAAGGAGAGUCAUGGGGAAGCUAAUUGGCCAAGCUAUCUUCAUGCAUGUGUGAGUGCCCUUUGGCCGAAUGGUCACCUUGGAGAAUGAAGAGAUAGCACACCAUACAUGAAUGGAAACAUUCAUGAACCUUAAAGACAUUGAAUAUGGUCAUACAUGCACUUGGCCGAACAUGCAGCUAAGAGAUUCAAGCCCUCCAACCGUCCAUGCACCUUCAAAAUUCAUGCUUGCUUUUAAUCUCCAUAUGUCCAUUGCGUUCCUACAAGAAAUGUGAACAUAAUUAAUUCAAACUAAUGUGAACACAAAUAUCAACAUUAAAUUCGGUUAUGACAAAUUUAAUUAUCAUCAAUAAACACUUUUAAGACAUACUUAAUAUAACUAAUGUGAACUAAAUUUAAUAUGUAGGAUAUUAAUUAACUAAUUAUUAAACUUAUUAAUUAAAAAGUCAAUAGUAGUCAAAUGAAUUCAAAGUGAACUCCAUGAGCUGAUGGUUAAUUCAUGAGUUAAACUCGAGCUGGGCUUAAACUCGUGAGCUGAUAAUGAGCUGGUCCUGAGCUAAUGAGCUGGUGUGGAGCUACAUGGGAGCUAACUUGAACUGAAGAUGAGCUCGGUGAGCUGAACUGAACUUGUAGAAAAGUUCGGCAUGGAUUUCCAAAAUGGCCACUAACUGGUUCGAUAGGUGUAGCAUUGACAUCAUCCCACACAUGCUGAACUAAAACUAUAA
Molecule: long non-coding RNA, 7236 nt
Filed under: Gossypium barbadense (sea-island cotton)
Lineage: Eukaryota; Viridiplantae; Streptophyta; Magnoliopsida; Malvales; Malvaceae
Description: long non-coding RNA (GBAR_LNC012401)
Source: RNAcentral